AAAUAGGUCCCACACAUAAGUGCCGGUUUUAAGACAGGUGCCGGUCACGUCGGAUCAUUGAUUCGGUCUUAUUCUUUCUAUGAGAUGCAAAUGCUAGGUCAUGAUCUCUGGCUAUCCGAGCAAGAUGGAGGCAUGCGGCAUGGCCCACGUGAGUUCGACGAUCUCUACAACAGAAAAGGCAUCACUGACAUUCGCUACUUCACUAACUCAAAGAUGCACUUCGCCGAGGACUUCCUCAUGCCGACUCUCAACCUCUGCAUCACCAAUGCCUAUAUCUAGAAUGACAGAGCGACUGCGGCGACAUCAAUGGCUUCUUCAAAGCUCAUGUUAUUGCUUGAGCGAAUAA
Molecule: long non-coding RNA, 346 nt
Filed under: Oryza sativa tropical japonica subgroup
Lineage: Eukaryota; Viridiplantae; Streptophyta; Magnoliopsida; Poales; Poaceae
Also listed under: 1 other name
Description: lncRNA OsKeNa_10g0003890
Source: RNAcentral